Molecule: non-coding RNA, 114 nt
Organism: Acanthosepion pharaonis
Lineage: Eukaryota; Metazoa; Mollusca; Cephalopoda; Sepiida; Sepiidae
Source: the annotation of a GenBank genome assembly
UUACGGCCAUAUCAUGUUGAAAUAUCAGUUCCUGUAAGAUCAUCGACGUUAAGCAACGUCGAACCUGGUCAGUAUCUAGACGGGUGACCGCUUGGGGAUACCAGGUGUUGUAAG